AAACCAUCCGUCUUCAUCAUCAUGAACAGGAACAUCAUCAUCAUUGUAGUAUACUUGCCACACACACCCAUAGAAUCGUCCAUUUAUCUUUUGGAUCUACAAAAAAAUGAACUGUUAACACACAAUGCAUUGACAUGAUGCAAGUACUGAUAUAGGCAGGAUAUUAGUCACUUACAAAGGUUGACAUGCACAACCAAAUCUGCAUUACCAAGAGUUGCAGUUUUUGCGACUCUGUACCUAAUCUUCAGUUUUCACAAGUGCCAUCUCGACAUGCACUACCUAGAAUUCAUUAGUAAUUUCAGCACCAUCAAGUUCAAAUUUAGGAUCACAAUUUACAACUAUAGCAAGAGCUACAUUUCUAUUAUGAUUUUUUAGGCUCGUUAAAAAUACUUUUUUUUCCUGCCUGUUAGAGAAAAUAAAAGUUACCAUGGGCAGAAUCAUGUCAAGCAAAAUAAUUAAUAGAAACAUGACAUAUAACACAAAAUGUUGAGAGGCAAAGACAUGUCGUGUUUGCAUCUUUUCCUCUACUUUAUGGUUAUGAAUACAUUCUUCCACAUGUUAAUCUCAUGAUGUGCAACAUCUAUGAAAUUCUAUGAAGCCUUUCACUACAAACAAAGUAGUUUUGGUGAUGAACGCUUAAAGUAAUUAAACUUCAUAUGAUACCUUUAAUGUAGAACACAAAGAUAGACAUUUUUAUUCGAGUAGCAGUAUGGUAUGAUAAACUGCAAAAUUCUGAGGCACCUACUGGAAGAUAGAGAAGCAGUGUGUUUGACCAUUAAUCAAGUAACAAAAUAUUACUAUAUCAAUACUUGGGACAUAUUAAGCCAAAAGAUAAAUUAAAUUUACCAAAUUAGUACAAAUAAAACAUAUUAGACAAUAAAAAGAAGCUUUGAAGCAUAAGAUCCAUCAUAAAUGAGGUACUCCCAGUACCGACCCAAUGAUUUUGCAUGCACUGCAGCGAGGACAGCAGGGCGGAUCAAGCAUUAGUUCAUAUUUACCACCAACUCCUAAUAAAAUAGCUAGUAUAUAUCCAGAUCAAACUAUAACUAGCACAUCUGAGCAGAUAAAUCAAAGGCAGUGACACUAUUAAGAAAAGGAGAAGACACAGCAGAGAAAACAAGACUGUAGUAUGUUCGAACAAAUAAUUAGGAUGUCUUGUUUGUAGACUACAAAUACAAAUCAGAUAGAUAUAUGGUGAUAUAUUUAAUUGGAAGUUGCAGGCAUCCAAAAAAUAAUAUUGAAUAUGGUCUAAUAAUUGAAGGACACUACAGAUGGACGGUGCCUAUUAAAGUGAUAUUGAAACAAUUGAAAUUAUUUUUCUUUUUCUUUUUGCAAUCCAUCAGUACAUGACCUCAUGAUGAAUCAGAAACAUGUUAGUAUUUAUAAAGUGGCCAUAGGCUACAAAUUUACUUCUGUUUUCCCCAUGGUGUGUAUUCUUCGUUGUAAAUAAAAAACACUUCAAGAGAAUAAAGGAGUGACACUACGGAUGUAGGCAAGCAUAGUAUAAAGAGGAAGCACGAACCACAAAAGAAGUGUCUAGAAUUUGGUAAACUAGCAGACAGAACCAUAUAUGUAUACGUUGUUAAUAAUAGAAGAAGGGGGCAUCAAUCAAAUUCCAAAAGCCAAGUGAAUAAAUGGAAAACACCUAUGGUUUUGUAUUCCUGGAACACAAUCUAGUUCAGUUAUCUUUAAAAAAUACAGAAGUCAGAUAGGUUGUAAUAGGUGUGAAAUUUAUCUAACAUGUCACUUGAGUAAAUAAGUACUAAUUGUCUCAGCGUAGUUUUAUAAGAUUUAUUUCCCUUCUACUGUAUUUAGGGGUUACGCAGUAAACAAAUUUCUGUUCAUAAAUCAUAAGUAAAUUGCAAGAUCCGCUUGCAUAAAAAAAUUGAUAUGACAUUCAGCUCACAUAAACAUCUUUUUCAAUGGCAAGCAUAGCUCAUGGUAGAUGUACUCAAUAAUAGAUUACAGAGUUUUGUGACAAGAAACAGUGAUUGAUCACCAGAUUACCUUCCUUUCGAUCUUGAACUCUAACUGUAGUGGGGAGAAAGCCUUAUGCAGCUGAGUGCUAAUUUCACCAGAUGUUGAUGGAUGAUAAUGCGGAGAACUGUGGAUCAGAAGCCCUCAGAUCCAACAAGUACUCAGCUUUGCCAUGCUCUACACCGAUAUCCUUCUCCCACAGCGUCGCGGCAGCCUAGUCGACCAAGCUGCGUAAAGCUGUCAACCUGCUCCUCAGUUUGUAGUAGCAGAG
This 2248-nucleotide long non-coding RNA is filed under the name Triticum aestivum (bread wheat). RNAcentral's name for it is "long non-coding RNA (TAES_LNC015548)". Lineage: Eukaryota; Viridiplantae; Streptophyta; Magnoliopsida; Poales; Poaceae. The record is from RNAcentral.